Molecule: ribosomal RNA, 414 nt
Filed under: uncultured bacterium
Lineage: Bacteria
Description: bacterial SSU rRNA
Rfam family: Bacterial small subunit ribosomal RNA
Source: RNAcentral
AUUGAACGCUGGCGGCAGGCCUAACACAUGCAAGUCGAACGGUAACAGGAAGAAGCUUGCUUCUUUGCUGACGAGUGGCGGACGGGUGAGUAAUGUCUGGGAAACUGCCUGAUGGAGGGGGAUAACUACUGGAAACGGUAGCUAAUACCGCAUAACGUCGCAAGACCAAAGAGGGGGACCUUCGGGCCUCUUGCCAUCGGAUGUGCCCAGAUGGGAUUAGCUAGUAGGUGGGGUAACGGCUCACCUAGGCGACGAUCCCUAGCUGGUCUGAGAGGAUGACCAGCCACACUGGAACUGAGACACGGUCCAGACUCCUACGGGAGGCAGCAGUGGGGAAUAUUGCACAAUGGGCGCAAGCCUGAUGCAGCCAUGCCGCGUGUAUGAAGAAGGCCUCGGUUGUAAAGUACUUUACAG